This 3011-nucleotide ribosomal RNA is filed under the name Tolypocladium inflatum. RNAcentral describes it as "LSU rRNA". It matches the Rfam family "Bacterial large subunit ribosomal RNA". Lineage: Eukaryota; Fungi; Ascomycota; Sordariomycetes; Hypocreales; Ophiocordycipitaceae. The record is from RNAcentral.
AGAAAAAUGAUAUAUAAGUAUUACUUGUAAAUAUAUAAGUAUAUAAAGAAACUAUUAUGGAAUUUAAGCUAUGUAUUAAAGAGAAUUAUUUAUAUAUAUAGAGAUAUAAUAUCCUAUAAUUAUAUGAACUCUAAGAGAAAUCUAAUAUUAAACGAAGUGAAUUGAAAUAUCUUAGUAACUUUAGGAAAAGAAAUCAAAAGAGAUUCUAUGAAUAGCGUGAGCGAAAGUAGAGUAGCCUAUAAAGUAGAACGGUCUCAAAACUGUUUAAAUAUAAUGGGGAACCUUCCUCAAAGGCUAAAUAUAAUACAUAAGCGAUAGUGAAAAGUACCAUGAGGGAACAAAAACAAAAAUAGUAGUUUUAUAAGCAGUUCGAUAAAAAGAACGUACCUUUUGCAUAAUGGGUCACCAAGUUAACGUUAGAUGCGAGUAUACGCGUAGUUAAACCGAACGUUAAAAUAACGAAAUAGUGUCUAAAGUUAGACCCGAAGCACGGUGAUUUUACCAUGGUCAGGAUUAUAAAAGUCCGAACGGGUGAUUGUAGCAAAAAUCUCCGAAGAACUGUGGUAGGUGUAGUGAAAGACAACACUGACUGUGAUAGCUGGUUUUCUGCGAAACCUAUAAUAGUAGGCAAUUUAAGUAAAUAUCUUAGCAGGUACAGAAUUUAAUCUCAGACAAGGCGUGUAAACGUUUUAUAUUGUAUAAAUUGGGGAAUCAUGAAGAUUUUAUCAGUGAGUAUGUAGACUCGGAAUGGCAAAGAUAUGUCUUAAAUUAUCAGACAUAGAAUGAUAAGGUUGUAUGUCGAAAGGGAAACAGCCCAGAACAAGAGUUAAGGUUCCUAAAUUAUUAGUUAAGUGAAAUUAAGAAGGUUUUUAUUAAAGUCGACAAGGAGAUAGGCUUAGAAGCAGCCAUAAUUUUAUGACCUCGUAACAGAGCGCUUGUUAAGUUAUAAAAGCAUCGAAAAUUUAACGGAUCUAAACAAUAUACCGAAACCUUGUCCAUAAUAUAUUAUAUUAAUUAUUUUUAAUGUAAUUUAAUGGGGUAGCAGAACGUUGAGCUAGAUUAUGAUUUCUAUUUUUUAAAUAGAAUUAUAUUAAUUUAACUCAAGUGAGAAUGGUGACAUGAGUAACGAAAAGAAAAUUUUCCGCCUUAAGCUUAUGGAUAUAAUUAAGUAACGGCCUCUAAGUUUAUAUUAUCUAAAGAUUUAAACGAUGAGAAAAUCUUUUUUACUAAGGACAACAUUUUAGUGUAAAAUGUGCUGGAAAAAUAGUAAAUAUAUUUGUUAUUUAUAACAAAUGAACAAUAACCGUACCUAGAAUCUGAAACAAGUAAGCUAGUAGAGAAUACGAAGGCGUAAAUGAGCUAACAAUCAUAAAGGAACUCGGCAAAUUGACUACCGUAACUUCGGAAUAAGGAGGGCUCAUUAUUCUUGAUUAAUAUCAAGUAAAGAGGAAGAAGCAUGAAAUAAUGUUGUACGACUGUUUAAUUAAAACACAGCACUUUGCUGAAAGAUUAAAAAUCUAUGUAUAAAGUGUGAUAUCUGCCCGGUGCCGGCUGGUUAACAGAGAUAAUUGAAUAUACUACUAUUUGAUGUCGACGGAAACCCCGGUUAAAGGCGGCCUUAACGUGAGGGUCCUAAGGUAGCGAAAUGCCUUGGCCGUUAAAUGCGGUCUUGCAUGAAUGGUGUAACGAUACAACAGCUGUCUCUAUGAUUGACUCAGUGAAAUUGGAAUAGCUGUGCAGAUACAGCUUACCUCUAGUUAGACGAGAAGACCCUAUGCAGCUUUACUGUCACUAAUUAUAGAGUAUGAUAGACAAUUUUCAGAAUAUAAGGUAAUUGACAAUAUGACAAUGAGAAUCCUUUAUUUUUCUUUCAUAUGAAUGAAUUGGUUUAGGAUUAUGAGUAGAUUGUAAUUAAUGUGGCUUAUUACUGAGUCAUUAAAAAACAUUAAUUAUAGUCUUUAAAUUAUUAUAUAGCUCAUUUUAGUAAAUCAGCCUAAUUCAACUUAUUAUUUUAGAAUAGUAAGUACCCUUUGGCAAGGAACUAUCGCUAGGGGACAGUUUAUGUGGGGCACAGACCCUGUAAAGAGUAAACAGGAGUGUCUAAUAAUUAUAAAUUAUUUUGUUUGCUAUUUUGAGUAGUUUAACUAUUUUUAAUCAUAUAUAAUUAUUUAUAUUUGCAUUUAUUGUAAAUAUAUUUAAGUUUAGGUAGGAUUUUUACUAUAUAGAAAUUAGAGAUAAUUGAAAACAUUACGAAUUAUUUCUAAUGUUUUCUAGCUAUCAUUUUUGAUAGUUAUGUAUUUAAUAUCUAAAAAGCUCAACGGCUAAAUCUUGCCUUACUGUUUGAUUAUCUACAAAUCUUACAGUUGCGUAAGCAGGGCAUAGGAUCACAAGAUGCAAUAAGGAAAGAUCUUGGAUUAUUGGAAAAGCUACGCUAGGGAUAACAGGCUAAUUUGCGCAAGAGUGUACAAAAUGAGUGCGCGGUUUGGCACCUCGAUGUCGGCUUAACUUAUCCUCAUGGACGCAGGAACUAUGUAGGGUGCGACUGUUCGUCGAUUAAAAAGUUACAUGAGCUGGGUUAAAUACGUCGUGAGACAGUAUGGUUUCUAUCUUCUAGGGGGAAUUAGAAUAAAAUAAGAACGAACUUUUGUACGCAAGGAACAAGAAGAGUUUAGCCCGUAAAAAAGGUUAAAAUAUAGUUACUAACCUAUGGUUUACCUGUUGUUUAUGUGCCCAAAUAUUAAAUAUAUAUGCUAUUGUAUAUAUAUAUAUGUAUUAUUAUAAUACAUAGGGAUGUUUCUCUCACUAAGAUAAAUGUAUAGCAUAAGCACGGCAGGAACGCUAAGUUGGUUAAGGAUAAGUGCUGAAAGCAUAUAGGCACGAAGCUUAUCUUAAGAUAUUUCUUAAAUAUACGUAAUAUAUUAUUACGUAAUUUAUAGGCUUUAUCCGUACGAAUCUAGAGAUUUUAAAGAAUAAAGUACUAAUUUAAUAAUUCACUAUUUAUAAAUAUAUCA